This 412-nucleotide unclassified non-coding RNA is filed under the name soil metagenome. Its description in RNAcentral is "partial contains 5.8S ribosomal RNA, internal transcribed spacer 2, and large subunit ribosomal RNA". The stretch from base 1 to 122 matches the Rfam family "5.8S ribosomal RNA", at positions 35 to 154 of the family's 154-position model. The record is from RNAcentral.
GAUGAAGAACGCAGUGAAAUGCGAUACUUGGUGUGAAUUGCAGAAUCCCGUGAACCAUCGAGUCUUUGAACGCAAGUUGCGCCCGAAGCCGUCAGGCCGAGGGCACGCCUGCCUGGGCGUCACACGCCGUUGCCCCCCCGCGCCCCGCACCCAACGCUUUGGGAGCGACCGCGGGGCGGGCUGAUGAUGGCCUCCCGUGCGCUCCGCCGCGCGGUUGGCCCAAAUACCGAGUCCCCGGCGACGUGCGCCACGACGAUCGGUGGUUGAGAGACCUCUGUCGCAAGUCGUGCGCGCCCGUCGCGUCACGCGGGCUCGCAUAGCGCCUCGCGCCGCACCCGGUGCGGAGCUUUCAACGCGACCCCAGGUCAGGCGGGGUUACCCGCUGAAUUUAAGCAUAUCAAUAAGCGGAGGA